This 138-nucleotide small nucleolar RNA is filed under the name Ornithorhynchus anatinus (platypus). The record is from RNAcentral. Lineage: Eukaryota; Metazoa; Chordata; Mammalia; Monotremata; Ornithorhynchidae.
CCCCUCUCAGGAUAAUACCUGGAGAGUUUCCAGUACUCUACCAGGCUCGGCUAUGGGAGGGAGAGUCAAGCAGAGGCAUACCCAUUCCAUUCCUGGCUUGGCCAGUGCCUAACGAGUGGAAGGUAAUCUGCUACAAGU